This 403-nucleotide ribosomal RNA is filed under the name bacterium. Its description in RNAcentral is "partial 16S ribosomal RNA". It matches the Rfam family "Bacterial small subunit ribosomal RNA", at positions 355 to 776 of the family's 1533-position model. The record is from RNAcentral.
UGGGGAAUAUUGCACAAUGGGGGAAACCCUGAUGCAGCGACGCCGCGUGAACGAAGAAGGUAUUCGUAUCGUAAAGUUCUGUCCUAUGGGAAGAUAAUGACAGUACCAUAGAAGAAAGCUCCGGCUAAAUACGUGCCAGCAGCCGCGGUAAUACGUAUGGAGCGAGCGUUGUCCGGAAUUAUUGGGCGUAAAGGGUACGCAGGCGGUUUAAUAAGUAGAAUGUUAAAGAUCGGGGCUCAACCCCGUAAAGCAUUGGAAACUGAUAAACUUGAGUAGUGGAGAGGAAAGUGGAAUUCCUAGUGUAGUGGUGAAAUACGUAGAUAUUAGGAGGAAUACCAGUAGCGAAGGCGACUUUCUGGACACAAACUGACGCUGAGGUACGAAAGCGUGGGGAGCAAACAGG